GGAUCGUAAAGCACUUUCGCCAGGGAUGAUAAUGACAGUACCUGGUAAAGAAACCCCGGCUAACUCCGUGCCAGCAGCCGCGGUAAUACGGAGGGGGUUAGCGUUGUUCAGAAUUACUGGGCGUAAAGCGUACGUAGGCGGAUCAGAAAGUAGGGGGUGAAAUCCCAGGGCUCAACCCUGGAACUGCCUCCUAAACUCCUGGUCUUGAGUUCGAGAGAGGUGAGUGGAAUUCCAAGUGUAGAGGUGAAAUUCGUAGAUAUUUGGAGGAACACCAGUGGCGAAGGCGGCUCACUGGCUCGAUACUGACGCUGAGGUACGAAAGUGUGGGGAGCAAACAGGAUUAGAUACCC
This 350-nucleotide ribosomal RNA is filed under the name uncultured bacterium. RNAcentral describes it as "bacterial SSU rRNA". It matches the Rfam family "Bacterial small subunit ribosomal RNA", at positions 420 to 787 of the family's 1533-position model. The record is from RNAcentral.